GACGAACGCUGGCGGCGUGCUCAACACAUGCAAGUCGAACGGAAAGGCCCUGCUUGCAGGGUGCUCGAGUGGCGAACGGGUGAGUAACACGUGGGUGAUCUGCCCCUUACUUUGGGAUAAGCCUGGGAAACUGGGUCUAAUACUGGAUAGGACCAUGCUGUAGGUGGUGUGGUGGAAAGAUUAGUUUCGGUAAGGGAUGAGCUCGCGGCCUAUCAGCUUGUUGGUGGGGUAAUGGCCUACCAAGGCGUCGACGGGUAGCCGGCCUGAGAGGGUGGACGGCCACAUUGGGACUGAGAUACGGCCCAGACUCCUACGGGAGGCAGCAGUGGGGAAUAUUGCACAAUGGGCGCAAGCCUGAUGCAGCGACGCCGCGUGGGGGAUGACGGCCUUCGGGUUGUAAACUCCUUUCAGCCAUGACGAAGCCCUUGUGGUGACGGUAGUGGUAGAAGAAGCACCGGCUAACUACGUG
Molecule: ribosomal RNA, 469 nt
Filed under: uncultured bacterium
Lineage: Bacteria
Description: partial 16S ribosomal RNA
Rfam family: Bacterial small subunit ribosomal RNA
Source: RNAcentral